GACGAACGCUGGCGGCGUGCUUAACACAUGCAAGUCGAACGAAGAGCGAUGGAAGCUUGCUUCUAUCAAUCUUAGUGGCGAACGGGUGAGUAACGCGUAAUCAACCUGCCCUUCAGAGGGGGACAACAGUUGGAAACGACUGCUAAUACCGCAUACGAUCUAAUCUCGGCAUCGAGGAUAGAUGAAAGGUGGCCUCUACAUGUAAGCUAUCACUGAAGGAGGGGAUUGCGUCUGAUUAGCUAGUUGGAGAGGUAACGGCCCACCAAGGCGAUGAUCAGUAGCCGGUCUGAGAGGAUGAACGGCCACAUUGGGACUGAGACACGGCCCAGACUCCUACGGGAGGCAGCAGUGGGGAAUCUUCCGCAAUGGACGAAAGUCUGACGGAGCAACGCCGCGUGAGCGAUGACGGCCUUCGGGUUGUAAAGCUCUGUUAAUCGGGACGAAAGGCCUUCUUGCGAAUAGGGAGAAGGAUUGACGGUACCGGAAUAGAAAGCCACGGCUAACUACGUG
Molecule: ribosomal RNA, 510 nt
Filed under: uncultured bacterium
Lineage: Bacteria
Description: partial 16S ribosomal RNA
Rfam family: Bacterial small subunit ribosomal RNA
Source: RNAcentral